Molecule: transfer RNA, 72 nt
Filed under: Salmonella enterica subsp. enterica serovar Baildon
Lineage: Bacteria; Pseudomonadati; Pseudomonadota; Gammaproteobacteria; Enterobacterales; Enterobacteriaceae
Description: tRNA-Sec
Rfam family: tRNA
About the family: Transfer RNA (tRNA) molecules are approximately 80 nucleotides in length. Their secondary structure includes four short double-helical elements and three loops (D, anti-codon, and T loops).
Source: RNAcentral
GUGGUUAUAGUAUAAUGUUAUUACCUCAGUGUCAGGCUGAUGAUGUGGGUUCGACUCCCACUGACCACUUCA